This 490-nucleotide ribosomal RNA is filed under the name uncultured bacterium. RNAcentral's name for it is "partial 16S ribosomal RNA". It matches the Rfam family "Bacterial small subunit ribosomal RNA", at positions 30 to 507 of the family's 1533-position model. The record is from RNAcentral.
AUUGAACGCUGGCGGCAGGCCUAACACAUGCAAGUCGAACGGUAACAGGAAGAAGCUUGCUUCUUUGCUGACGAGUGGCGGACGGGUGAGUAAUGUCUGGGAAACUGCCUGAUGGAGGGGGAUAACUACUGGAAACGGUAGCUAAUACCGCAUAACGUCGCAAGACCAAAAAGGGGGACCUUCGGGCCUCUUGCCAUCGGAUGUGCCCAGAUGGGAUUAGCUAGUAGGUGGGAUAACGGCUCACCUAGGCGACGAUCCCUAGCUGGUCUGAGAGGAUGACCAGCCACACUGGAACUGAGACACGGUCCAGACUCCUACGGGAGGCAGCAGUGGGGAAUAUUGCACAAUGGGCGCAAGCCUGAUGCAGCCAUGCCGCGUGUAUGAAGAAGGCCUUCGGGUUGUAAAGUACUUUCAGCGGGGAGGAAGGGAGUAAAGUUAAUACCUUUGCUCAUUGACGUUACCCGCAGAAGAAGCACCGGCUAACUCCGUG